UAGAAAAACGGAGCUGGGAUUUAGCAGGAUUUGAAGAAACUUCCUAAUUAUGCCAAGCAGAGAGCUGCCUGAGUAAAAUCUCAGCCAGAACCCCAGGUUUUUUAUUACUGGUUCUGUUUUAAGUGUAUCUCUAUAAUUUUCUGUGUUUCUGCUUUUGUUUAUAUCAUCAUAGUCAGCGGGACUGAGAGAUUAAAAACCGAAAUGUAUUAUCUUUGCACAUCCUCAAAACCUGUCGAGAAAGGAGGAGAAAUUAAACAAGGACAAAAACUCGCACUGAAGUGAAGCUGUUUCCUUUGAGCUGCCUUAUUAACCAGUCAAGUACUUGACUGCCACUGUCAGCGAGAUUUCUUUAGAGAAAGAGUGGCAUUUUGAAAAAUACAAAUUCACCGCCUGCACAAGUUAAUGAGGCCCUUCAGCAAUGUUCAUUGAUAGUGUAAAUUCAUCAUAAUACAGUGCUACAAACCAUAAAUGGGAUAUGCAUACAGGAAAUCAUCCACUAUUAGAAAUUUGCCAGACACGAAAAGAAAAAGAAGCCAUUGAUAAGCAGAAAACUCAUCUCAACUGCUCCGUGCUGAUGGGUGUGCAGCACAUUAGUAAUGCCAGAUAGUGCCACGAUGAGAACUUAUUAAGGUGAAUUGAGGUAGCUCAUCAAGUGUAUUUGGUCGCCUUUGUUCGCGUUUUAUGGACUCUCUCAGCUGCCUCCCUUGCAUUUGCCAGUGUUGGGUUAGAUAAAGCUUGCUGUACAAGGACUACCAUCAACAUAAAGGGACAAAUGUCUCCAAAUACUUCGCUUUUCUGUGCACUCACAGACGUGCUUAUGCAUUUAAUCGAUUUUCAGUUGCAUUUGCAAGCGAUAGCUUUACAGACACCAAAUUAUCUUAAGGGCUAUAUAGUACACCAGGAGUGGACAGUAGUAAAAAUUGGCAACACCCCAGAAAAAAUAUAUUAUGGUGACUUCUGAUCUUUUAAAUAAUAACCGAGCAGUGCUAUUUUGCUGUCUGUAUCAAUCAAUAAAUCUCUCUACAGUGCAAUACAUUCGGUACUCCUACCCUUCUUGAAUAGUAUCAGUUUAAAAAUCUCUGGGACCAUUAGGCCAAUACUUUAGUGUGAUUUGUCUGUUGGCCGGUUUCCAUCAUCUUGCUUCAGGGAAUGAAUAAAAAAAGGAAUACCUUGCAUCGGGUCAUAAAAUGGUCAGCUUCUUGAUGAGAAGAGGUGUACAGACUUGUUAAAAUCUUGAAGACCGUGGCCCCUGAUGUGCAGGACACCACCAAAUUACAUAAAUGAGCUCUACAAAAUAAAGCAGACUGGUAUGAAAAGGCUUUGAAACAUCUGCAUUCAUCUCCCGUGGUCUCAAUUCCAAAUAUAUGGAGAUCUGAGGAAAGACUACAUUGGGUUAGCCUCUGAAAAGUGUCUGGAAAAGAGAGUCACUACCCCAACUCCCCACCACCCCGCCUCCCCGCUGUUGAAUGAAUCUGCUUGUUGCAGAGCCGCAGAUGACUGGGGAUCAACAAAGGAACAUCAACAGAGGAACUUGAGAAGAUGCAAAUUCUGGUAUCCCUCUUCCCACACUGUCUUUGGUUUCACACACGAAGACAAGAUCAAGGGCACGGACUCUGGUCUUCUCUCCCAGGGGAUCUGCUUUCCCUGUAGCCUUGCCGCAGAGGUCAGUUCAGAACUCAUCCCAAUCCAUGGAAACCCUGAAGACCAAGUCCCCUUCUCCCAGUGUCACCUGUUUCCCUCGGCUGACGUGUUUGUGUCAUCAGCUGUACAAGGCAUUGGGCAGAGUAGCAGAAGCCUAAGCAAACACGCCAUUCGCUUGUAAACAGGAAUAAUGAUGUUGACUGGAAGGCAGCCUAGCAAAGCCGGCUCCAUCAAAGGAAGGCUCCCACCACCUGUUGCUUAGGUGUUCCUGGCACACCACCUCUGCGGCUGGCACGCCGCUGCUGCUCCUCUCGCUCCGUAAAUCCAAUCAGUUAUACACACGGGGCAUCACGGAAAAGCUGUUCUGUCUAUUUUUCUAGUCAAACACAUGGGUUCUUCUUUCUGCCUCUCUUUGUCUCAGGCCUUGAACCGAAGCAGCAGCCCUGGUCUAGGGUUUUGGCUGGUGCAAUUUCAUUGACUUCAGUAAAAGGACAAGCUGCUGUGAGACCUCUGCGUACUUCAGUCUCUGUGUCAGCUUCUUCUCUAGGUCCUCAGCUUCCAAGACAGCAAGCAAUAUGAUUUUUAAACCUACUUAUGCCAUUUUAUAAACAUUAUUUAUCUUUUUUCUCUUCCCGCUAUAUUAAUUAUACAGUGUUAGAUCUCUUGAAAUGUAAAUACCCCAAAUGCCAAAAUUAGAGCACGGUAGUGAGAAUGUUGUAAGAGUGCUUUUUUGGAAAAGAAAGAAUAGAUUUUCACAAAUGAUUGUUGACCUUCUAGAAACUCUGUUCUGGUACUUUUCAGCAUGCUUUGAAGUGGAGCAAACGCUUUGCUAUUUGACCACCUCCUGGUAGGGUUUCCAUCCUCAGCGCUCGCUGGAGCAGGAGACCUGAUACACCAGAGCUGCAUACUCCAGUACAUCACUUUAAACCAAGCCUUUACCAUCUGCUUCAACCUCUAAUUACAAAUGCAAAAUAACACAAUUCACAAUUGCAUCAUAAAAAAGUAAAAUAUAAGUGAUUUAAAUGCAUGUGUGUGUUCCUUAUGCAAGGCAACAUUCAUCUGUUAUGUUUUACCAUCUUUUAGAAACAACUCCGGGGUGAAAUCCCUCUUUGUGGAGGGAAGAAAAAUGAUUUCA
This is a long non-coding RNA of Aquila chrysaetos chrysaetos, 2776 nucleotides long. RefSeq lists it as uncharacterized. NCBI's taxonomy places the organism in Eukaryota, Metazoa, Chordata, Aves, Accipitriformes, Accipitridae. The record is from RefSeq and is a predicted model, not a curated record. The transcript has 3 exons.